Molecule: ribosomal RNA, 466 nt
Filed under: uncultured bacterium
Lineage: Bacteria
Description: partial 16S ribosomal RNA
Rfam family: Bacterial small subunit ribosomal RNA
Source: RNAcentral
GAUGAACGCUGGCGGCGUGCUUAACACAUGCAAGUCGAACGAUGAAGCCCAGCUUGCUGGGUGGAUUAGUGGCGAACGGGUGAGUAACACGUGAGUAACCUGCCCUUAACUCUGGGAUAAGCCUGGGAAAUUGGGUCUAAUACCGGAUAGGAGCGUCCACCGCAUGAUGGGUGUUGGAAAGAUUUAUCGGUUUUGGAUGGACUCGCGGCCUAUCAGCUUGUUGGUGAGGUAAUGGCUCACCAAGGCGACGACGGGUAGCCGGCCUGAGAGGGUGACCGGCCACACUGGGACUGAGACACGGCCCAGACUCCUACGGGAGGCAGCAGUGGGGAAUAUUGCACAAUGGGCGCAAGCCUGAUGCAGCGACGCCGCGUGAGGGAUGACGGCCUUCGGGUUGUAAACCUCUUUCAGUAGGGAAGAAGCGAAAGUGACGGUACCUGCAGAAGAAGCACCGGCUAACUACGUG